RNAcentral lists this ribosomal RNA (1440 nucleotides) under uncultured organism. RNAcentral's name for it is "SSU rRNA". It matches the Rfam family "Bacterial small subunit ribosomal RNA". The record is from RNAcentral.
CGCUAGCUACAGGCUUAACACAUGCAAGUCGAGGGGCAGCAUGGUCUUAGCUUGCUAAGGCCGAUGGCGACCGGCGCACGGGUGAGUAACACGUAUCCAACCUGCCGUCUACUCUUGGACAGCCUUCUGAAAGGAAGAUUAAUACAAGAUGGCAUCAUGAGUCCGCAUGUUCACAUGAUUAAAGGUAUUCCGGUAGACGAUGGGGAUGCGUUCCAUUAGAUAGUAGGCGGGGUAACGGCCCACCUAGUCUUCGAUGGAUAGGGGUUCUGAGAGGAAGGUCCCCCACAUUGGAACUGAGACACGGUCCAAACUCCUACGGGAGGCAGCAGUGAGGAAUAUUGGUCAAUGGGCGAGAGCCUGAACCAGCCAAGUAGCGUGAAGGAUGACUGCCCUAUGGGUUGUAAACUUCUUUUAUAAAGGAAUAAAGUCGGGUAUGGAUACCCGUUUGCAUGUACUUUAUGAAUAAGGAUCGGCUAACUCCGUGCCAGCAGCCGCGGUAAUACGGAGGAUCCGAGCGUUAUCCGGAUUUAUUGGGUUUAAAGGGAGCGUAGAUGGAUGUUUAAGUCAGUUGUGAAAGUUUGCGGCUCAACCGUAAAAUUGCAGUUGAUACUGGAUAUCUUGAGUGCAGUUGAGGCAGGCGGAAUUCGUGGUGUAGCGGUGAAAUGCUUAGAUAUCACGAAGAACUCCGAUUGCGAAGGCAGCCUGCUAAGCUGCAACUGACAUUGAGGCUCGAAAGUGUGGGUAUCAAACAGGAUUAGAUACCCUGGUAGUCCACACGGUAAACGAUGAAUACUCGCUGUUUGCGAUAUACUGCAAGCGGCCAAGCGAAAGCGUUAAGUAUUCCACCUGGGGAGUACGCCGGCAACGGUGAAACUCAGAGGAAUUGACGGGGGCCCGCACAAGCGGAGGAACAUGUGGUUUAAUUCGAUGAUACGCGAGGAACCUUACCCGGGCUUAAAUUGCAGAUGAAUUACGGUGAAAGCCGUAAGCCGCAAGGCAUCUGUGAAGGUGCUGCAUGGUUGUCGUCAGCUCGUGCCGUGAGGUGUCGGCUUAAGUGCCAUAACGAGCGCAACCCUUGUUGUCAGUUACUAACAGGUUCCGCUGAGGACUCUGACAAGACUGCCAUCGUAAGAUGUGAGGAAGGUGGGGAUGACGUCAAAUCAGCACGGCCCUUACGUCCGGGGCUACACACGUGUUACAAUGGGGGGUACAGAGGGCCGCUACCACGCGAGUGGAUGCCAAUCCCCAAAACCUCUCUCAGUUCGGACUGGAGUCUGCAACCCGACUCCACGAAGCUGGAUUCGCUAGUAAUCGCGCAUCAGCCACGGCGCGGUGAAUACGUUCCCGGGCCUUGUACACACCGCCCGUCAAGCCAUGGGAGCCGGGGGUACCUGAAGUGCGUAACCGCGAGGAGCGCCCUAGGGUAAAACUGGUGACUGG